UACGUAGGGUCCGAGCGUUGUCCGGAGUUACUGGGCGUAAAGCGCGCGCAGGCGGCGGUGCUGGCCCGGCGUGAAAGCCCCCGGCUCAGCCGGGGAGAGUCGUCGGGGACCGCACCGCUUGAGGGCGGUAGGGGCUGGUGGAAUGCCUGGUGUAGUGGUGAAAUGCGUAGAGAUCAGGCAGAACACCUGGGGCGAAGGCGGCCAGCUGGGCCGUCCCUGACGCUGAGGCGCGAAGGCGUGGGGAGCGAACGGG
RNAcentral lists this ribosomal RNA (253 nucleotides) under uncultured bacterium. RNAcentral's name for it is "partial 16S ribosomal RNA". It matches the Rfam family "Bacterial small subunit ribosomal RNA", at positions 524 to 776 of the family's 1533-position model. The record is from RNAcentral.